CGGGGUGCAGCAGGCGCGAAAACUUUGCAAUAAUCGAAAGCUUGACAGGGCUAUCCCGAGUGCCAUCCGCUGAGGAAGGCUUUUACCCAGUCUAGAACGCUGGGGGAAUAAGGAGAGGGCAAGUCUGGUGUCAGCCGCCGCGGUAAUACCAGCUCUCCGAGUGGUGUGGAUGUUUAUUGGGCCUAAAGCAUCCGUAGCUGGCUAAGUUAGUCCCUUGUUAAAUCCACCGAAUUAAUCGUUGGAUUGCGGGGGAUACUGCUUGGCUAGGGGACGAGAGAGGCAGACGGUAUUUCCGGGGUAGGGGUGAAAUCCUAUAAUCCCGGGAAGACCACCAGUGGCGAAGGCUGUCUGCUAGAACGCGCCCGACGGUGAGGGAUGAAAGCUGGGGGAGCGAACCGGAUUAGAUACCCGGGUAGUCCCAGCUGUAAACGAUGCAGGCUAGGUGUUUGGACGGCCACGUGCCGUUCUAGUGCCGCAGGGAAGCUGUUAAGCCUGCCGCCUGGGGAGUACGAUCGCAAGAUUGAAACUUAAAGGAAUUGGCGGGGGAGCAC
RNAcentral lists this ribosomal RNA (551 nucleotides) under uncultured archaeon. Its description in RNAcentral is "bacterial SSU rRNA". It matches the Rfam family "Archaeal small subunit ribosomal RNA", at positions 326 to 879 of the family's 1478-position model. The record is from RNAcentral.